This 2755-nucleotide unclassified non-coding RNA is filed under the name Hevea brasiliensis (rubber tree). The record is from RNAcentral. Lineage: Eukaryota; Viridiplantae; Streptophyta; Magnoliopsida; Malpighiales; Euphorbiaceae.
CAGCCAUCCUGAGAGCUCCUUCUCACUUUAGUGUCUGGACAAUUCAUUUUCUGCCCUCUGUCAAUUUUGCUUCCUUUUUCUCGUACCUUUGAACCUUUGGCUAUAAUUUCGUGUUCCACUUCUUCCGAUUGAACUUCUCUCGAUUGGUGUCAAAUUCGACUUUUUGUGAGAGAUGAGCAGUUCAAGCAGAGAACUUCUGCAUUUGGAGCACAAGAAUGUCUCUGCAUCUCCUCUUGAAUCCUCACUUCUUGUCUGUAAAAAGGAGUCGGUCUCUCAUAACAAGAAAGCCCCUCCUGAUGGAAAGCCCAUUACUAAUCGAAUUGCCCAAAGCCAAGGUAAUUGUCUUCAGAAUUCCACACUCUUCUUUUGGUAUUGGGUAUAAUCUCUUGUUACUAUAGUACGUUUUUCGUCUUAUGAAAAAUUGGGAACAUGCUCAAUAUGGAACUCACCACUUAACAAAUGAAACAUAAAAGCAUAUUAAUUGUGGUUUGGAAUAAGUCUGCAGUUGCAAAAAAAAAUUGUUUUAGCAUAUUUUUAAGAGGAUGAGUGCAAAUGGGAAUGGAAUAUGUUUGAGUAAUUUUGGUAAUUAUGUACGCUGAUUUGUGUACCUUAGAUAGCAGUAAUUUCAAAAUUGUGGGGAUUUUCUGUUUUGGCACCCAUGCAUCUGUUUAUAUGAUCUGCUAUUACUUUCAACAUAUGCAUUUGGGGUGUCUGCUUUGAAAUCUUUGCAUGUCUUACUGUCUUUUAAGGCUCCCAGUUUGUUAAGCUUACUUAUUCAGGAGUUCAAGAGGAACUUUGGCUAUGUUUUCAUCGUAUGAGAUUGUCCUGUAUUUUUCUUGUUUCUGUAUAUGGUGUUUUUUAAUAGGUAUAAUGAUUAGGCUUUGUCCAAGGAAUUUUUCUUUACUUAUCAUCAGUUUUCUUGCAUUUGUUGUCUAUAUGUUGCAACAAUGUACAGUAAUGCAACCUAGCCCUGAACAUUCUUGAUAUCUAAUUUUCCAACUAGUAAGGUUGCUGUUAUUUGUGUGAAAUAUUUAAUGAUUUUUCUAGUAGCUAGAUGGUAUAUCUAGCUCAAAAAAUUGGGAGACUUUGAUGGUUGGUUGGUAAUGGUCCAUGUCAACUAUGGUUUACAUAUUGUCCAUCCCUUAUCAAAGUUAGUUCAUCUCUUCGCUAACUUGGGCAUGGAAAAAAAAAGGUUGGAUUAAUCAUUAUUAUUGCAAUAAUAGAUAUUGCACUGUAGCUCUGUUUCUGUGCAUUCUUCUUCUUCUUCCUUUAGUGCUGGCUCCCUAAGCAUCCUUUUUUUGCCUUUCCAGUAGCUGUUGUAUCAUCUUUUCAAUGUGUAAAUGAAUUUAUGAAAAGACAUUAGUGAUGUGCAAGGAGACCUUAUAAUCUAGGGCUAUUUUGAGGUAUUGUUGCUUUACUGUUCAGUGAUCAACGUUUAAUGGGUAGAAUGGUCACCCAACGUUAUCAAUUUGUUGCUAACUGCAGGCACUAAUUGUAAUAUUUGCUAGGAUUGCACUUAGCCAUACAAGAUUGCUACACUUUGGACCUUUGUUCUUUUGAUGAAAAACUUUAUAGGUCAAGAUAUAUGGCCUUUACAUGUGAGAAUUUCUUGCAUGGAAACCUGUUUACUAAAUACCUAUUUACAGUAGCCAAAUGGGUUUGAGUUUGAGAUCAUGUUUUUCAAGCUGAACACCGAACAACCAUAAUUCCAAAAUGGACUUAAAAUAUGAGGAAAUCAAAACCUUUUUCCAAUCUUGGAGGUGGGCAUGCCUUUUGUCUUCUGCACGUUUGCCAAUGCUAGCCAAAUGGGUUUGAGUUUGGGAUGUUGUGUUUCUGGUCAAAUGCUGUGCAAGCCAAUCCCAAACUGGACAUAAAAAAUAUGAGGAAAUCAAAACUUAAUGUUGUUCUAACAUUAGUUGUUAACAACCAUUUCUAUUGCUGCAGUUCUGGGAAAAGUGAAAGACUUCCUAGGAGUCAUAUCUGAAGCCAAUAAACGGUUGCAGAAAGCUGCCGAGGACAAUUCUCUGAACUAUGAUAUUGAAGUGCUCACUGGAACUGAAUCUGAAGUCAUUGAAAUGGAUUUAAUGCUGGGUAUUGCUGAUCUUCAUACUCCUGAAGCUAUAGCUGCUGCUGAAUCUGCAAUAAGUAGUGGUCAACCAUUGGUUCCUUCAGAUUCAGAUAGCAGUGAAACAGAAUCAGAAGGUACAAGUGAUAAUGAUGACAAUAAAGUAGAAAGUGAUAAUGAUGAUGACAAGGACAACAACAACGAUGAGCAAACAGGCUCUUCCUUGAAACGCAAAACAUCUAGCUUUGUUGAAGAGGGCUCAAGUCAAGCUGCUGGCAGAAAUGGGUCCAAAAAGCGGCCAAAGAUCGUUGAGAUGUGUUGAAACUAAAUUUGUUGGUAAAAGCUUGGUUUUAUAAGUUGAUGAUUAUAUACUCUUUUUUCUUUGAGGUUAUAUUGUCAACUGAAGAGUUCUGUCAUGUCUUCCUUCUGUUCCUCCCCUGCCCUUGCUCUUCCCCCCCCAAGUCUUUUUUCCCAGUGUUACUGGUCGUAGAUCGGUGAUGAGUAUUAUCAGAAGUACUAGAAAUGUAUUAAGGAUGUUAUGAUGAAUUAGUAUGAACUGCAUUUAGGAGCCAGUGUUGGAAAACCAAGUUGAGAUUAUGGGCUAUUAAUAUCUCUUCUUGUUAAUCCCAGCGGUUGCAUAUGUUCAGGGUCUAGAUGGGAUGUAAGAGGGCUAUUUAGGAAUGAGCAAUC